Macaca mulatta (Rhesus monkey) is the source of this 1167-nucleotide non-coding RNA. Lineage: Eukaryota; Metazoa; Chordata; Mammalia; Primates; Cercopithecidae. The record is from RefSeq and is a predicted model, not a curated record.
AUAUUUUAAUUGAAAAAUCAGAUCAGCUAUGCAACUCUGCUUCUGGGAGUUGAAUGGAUAACAGCUGGGUGAUAGAAUACUUGGGCCAUGCAUCUCUCACCAUCCCUUAGGCAGUCCAGAUUUAUUUACAUGGUGAUCAUGAGGUUCCAAGAAAGCAAAUAGAGACCUCUCGGAGCCUAGCUCAGACACAGUAAACUUUUUUUUGGUUGUUUGCUACAUUCCAUAGGUCAAAGCAAGUCACAAGUCUAGCCCAGAUUCAAGUAUUGAGGAAAUAGACUUCACCCCGUGAUGGAGAAUACUGCAAAAAUCACACUACAAAAAUGUUGGAUAUAGAGAGGAAAAAAAUAAUGUGGCCAUUUUUCUAACGUACCGCAAUGAGUAUGCAUAAGAGCCAGAGUUUGCUGUGGUAAUUGCCUUGAAGUGUUCUGAUUGGAUUUGUACCUCUUCUCCCACAGAAGAUGCCAUGUUGUAGCAUAGGAGCCAAAUGCCAGGCUUAUUGGGCAGAUUCCAUGUGGAGAGCAGCCGUGGCCUUGAGGCUCUGUGCGGUGGUGAUACUGACUGUAGUCCCUGGCAGUUGCAGCAGGCAGGAAGCAGAGAGAGAAAUGUGAUGAGGCAGCUCUGGAGAGGAGGAGCCACAGGUGCACCCCUGCAUUGGGAAGAAGCCAUCAACAACUGCAGCAAAGAGACUAGAUAUAACCACACACUCCUGGGUUUGCUGGGGAAUUUAAGAAAAAUGCAGUCAGAAAUCAAAGGUGGAGUUCUAGGAGUCCUCCUGGAAAGAAGCUAGGGAGAGAAAUUCUGAUUGGCAUUUUUUUCCUUUAUAGCUCCACUUUUGUCCUGCUAAAAGCAGGAAUCAGAUCAAAUGUUAAGCAGAUGACAUUUGACAGUCGCAACGCAAUACUUUUUCUCAUUAUCACAUAACAUUCCCCUACUACACCAUUUAAAUCUCACUCUCACCCAGAAUAAUCACAGAUGAGUCAUGAGAAGUGAUAAAUAAAAAAUACGAUUUUUUAAGUCAAAUGUAAGUAUCAAACUAUAAAGACCCAGCAUGUAUAAAAUUUAAUUUUGCAAUUAAACUCCCAACAAUGUUUAUCUCAUACCACCCAUUAUGUGCACAGAUCUCAUUGUGAUGCUCAGAAAUUAAAGCAUGUAAGAUGUGUGGUUCAA